Molecule: ribosomal RNA, 260 nt
Filed under: uncultured bacterium
Lineage: Bacteria
Description: partial 16S ribosomal RNA
Rfam family: Bacterial small subunit ribosomal RNA
Source: RNAcentral
AGUGGCGGACGGGUGAGUAACGCGUGGGUAACCUGCCUCACACAGGGGGAUAACAGUUGGAAACGACCGCUAAUACCGCAUAAGCCGGAAGGAUCGCAUGAUUCGGCCGGAAAAGAUUUAUCGGUGUGAGAUGGACCCGCGUCUGAUUAGCCAGUUGGCAGGGUAACGGCCUACCAAAGCGACGAUCAGUAGCCGGCCUGAGAGGGUGAACGGCCACAUUGGGACUGAGACACGGCCCAAACUCCUACGGGAGGCAGCAG